UAUGAAGACGCUGACCAGUAAA
This 22-nucleotide unclassified non-coding RNA is filed under the name Mus musculus (house mouse). RNAcentral's name for it is "oocyte_clustered_small_RNA11429". Lineage: Eukaryota; Metazoa; Chordata; Mammalia; Rodentia; Muridae. The record is from RNAcentral.